RNAcentral lists this long non-coding RNA (3737 nucleotides) under Sorghum bicolor (sorghum). Its description in RNAcentral is "long non-coding RNA (SBIC_LNC004794)". Lineage: Eukaryota; Viridiplantae; Streptophyta; Magnoliopsida; Poales; Poaceae. The record is from RNAcentral.
CCGAAAGGUUCUGUUAACUCUCGAUUUAGUGGAGACGAGACACAAAUCGAUCCGGCUUCCGAACAACACGAAGGCAAACCCUGCAAUUUUUUUAUUUUUUUAUGUUUUUCUUUUACUUAGGUGCACUAAAGAAGUAACCACAGAAAAUUUGAGCUUAAACAAGUGAAAGACGUGGCUUGCAGAAUUUUCUAUAGAUUGUGAAAAAUGUGAAAAAAACUUCACGAGGUGAAAACUUAAACUUCGGAGGUGUAUUUGGAAGUUCUAAAUUUUUCAAACCCGCUUGUGGUAGGGACAGGCAAACCCGAAAUUUUUUCUGAUUGAUUUUGAUAUAUGGAACGUUGAAAUCGGAGUUCGUACGCGAAUGUUAUGGCUAUUUUACAAACGAACUGCGAAUUAGAGUACAAAACGGUCCGAAAGUGGGAAAAAUUUGCGGCGGUGCCCAGAAAUUGAUGGAAACGGUGGGGAAAAACAUACUAACUGGACUCUAACAAGACCUAACCAGCAACAACCUCGACCAGGACACAAACUCAAAACAACGGACUCUGAAUCUGAAAUAUGGAAAAGCUAUGGCGCGGAAGGGUUGUAGAACAGGAAAACAAUAUGGCACUGGACUCAUGGGACGAACAUAAGAACACAAGAAACUAAGGGUAGAUGUGAACCUAACGGUACACCUAAAGCUUUGAUUACCACUUGAUGAGAACAAGGGUGGCCCGAUCUUCCGAAAGGUUUUGGUAACUCUCGAUUUGGUGGAGAUGAGACACAAAUCGAUACGGCUUAUGAACAACACGAUCCGAAACCCUACAUUUUUUUUAUUUUUUUGAUAUUUUUAUUUUACUUAGGAGCACUAAAGGAGUAACCACAGAAAAUUUGAGCUUAAACAAGUGAAAGACAUGGCCUGUUGAAUUUCUCAAGAUUGUGAAAAAUGUGAAAAGAACUUCACGUAUUGGAAACUCAAACUUCGGAGGCGAAUUUCAAGAUUCUAAAAUUGUCAAACACGCAAAAGUGAGGGACAAACAUAUCUCAAAUUUUUUCUUAUCGAUUUUGAUAUAUGGAACGUUGAAAUCGGAGUUCGUAUGCGAAAGUUAUGGCUGUUUUACGAACAGACUCCGAAUUAGAGGACAAAACGAUCCGAAAGUGGGAAUAAUUCGCGGUGGUGGCUAGAAAUUGAUGGAAAUGGUGGGGAAAAACAUACGAACUAGACUCUAACAAGACCUAACCAGCAACAUCCUCGACCAAGACACAAACUCAAAAUUGCGGACUCUGAAACUGAAAUAUGCAAAGGCUAUUGCGCGGAAGGGUUGUAGAACAAGAAAACGAUAUGGCACUGGACUUAUGGGACGAAUACAAGAACACUCGAAACUAAGUGUAGAUGUGAACCUAACGGUAUACCUGAAGCUUUAUUACCACUUGAUGAGAUCAAGGGUGGCCCGAUCUUUCGACAGGUUCUGGUAACUCUCGAUUUGGUGGAGACGAGACACAAAUCAAUGCGGCUUCCAAACAACGCGAUCUGAAACCCUGCAAUUUUUUUAUUUUAUUGAUAUUUUUAUUUUACUUAGGAGCAUUAAAGAAGUAACCAUAAAAAAUUUGAGCUUAAACAAGUAAAAGACGUUUCCUGCAGAAUUUUCUGAAGAUCGCAAAAAAUGUGAAAAAAACAUCACAAGGUGAAAACUGAAACUUCGGAGGUGAAUUUGGAGAUUCUAAAACUUUCAAACCCGUAAAUAGCAGUAACAGACAGAUCCGAAUUUUUUUGAUCGAUUUUGAUAUAUGGAACAUUAAAAUCGGAGUUUGUAUGUGCAAGUUAUAGCUGUUUUACGAACGGACUCUGAAUCAGAGGACAAAACGGUCCGAAAGUGGGAAAAAGUUGCAGCGAUGGCUAGAAAUUGAUGGAAACGUUCGGAAAAAAACACGAACUAGACUCUAACAAGACCUAACCAGCAACAAGUCCUCGACCAGGACACAAACUCAAAACUGCAGACUCGGAAACUGAUAUAAAAAGGCUAUGGCGCGGAAGGGUUGUAGGACACAAAAACGAUAUGGCACUGGACUUAUGGGACGAACACAAGAACACUCGAAACUAAGGGUAGAUGUGAACCUAACGGUAUACCUGAAGCUUCGAUUACCACUUGAUGAGAACAAGGGUGGCCGGAUCUUCUGAAAGGUUCUGUUAACUCUCGAUUUGGUGGAGACGAGACACAAAUCGAUCCGGCUUCCGAACAACACGAAGGCAAACCCUGCAAUUUUUUUUAUUUUUUUGAUAUUUUUCUUUUACUUAGGUGCACUAAAGAAGUAACCACAGAAAAUUUGAGCUUAAUCAAGUGAAAGACGUGGCCUGCAGAAUUUUGUAAAGAUUGUGAAAAAUGUGAAAAAAAACUUCACAAGGUGAUAACUUAAACUUCGGAGGUGUAUUUGGAAAUUUUAAAAUUUUCAAUCCCGCUAGUGGUAGGGACAGGCAAACCCGAAAUUUUUUCUGAUUGAUUUUGAUAUAUGGAACAUUGAAAUCGGAGUUCGUACGCGAAUGUUAUGGCUAUUUUACGAACAGACUCCGAAUUAGAGAACAAAACGGUCCGAAAGUGGGAAAAAUUUGCGGCGGUGGCUAGAAAUUGAUGGAAACCUGCGGACUUUGAAUGUGAAAUAUGCAAAAGCUAUGGCGCGGAAGGGUUGUAGAAUAGGAAAAUAAUAUGGCACUGGACUUAUGGGACGAACACAAGAACACUCGAAACUAAGGGUAGAUGUGAACCUAACGGUAUACCUAAAGCUUUGAUUACCACUUGAUGAGAACAAGGAUGGCCCGAUCUUCCGAAAGGUUCUGGUAACUCUCGAUUUGGUGGAGACGAGACACAAAUCGAUACGGCUUCUGAACAACACAAUCUGAAACCCUUCAUUUUUUUAUUUUUUUGAUAUUUUUAUUUUACUUAGGAGCACUAAAGGAGUAACCACAUAAAAUUUGAGCUUAAACAAGUGAAAGACAUGGCCUGUGGAAUUUCUGAAGAUUGUGAAAAAUGUGAAAAGAACUUCACGUAUUGGAAACUCAAACUUCGGAGGCGAAUUUCAGGAUUCUAAAGUGGUCAAACCCGCGAAAGUUAGGGACAAACAGACCUGAAAUUUUUUUCUGAUCGAUUUUGAUAUAUGGAACGUUGAAAUCGGAGUUCGUAUGCAAAAGUUAUGGCUGUUUUACGAACAGACUCCGAAUUAGAGGACAAAACGGUCCGAAAGUGGGAAAAAUUUGCGGCGGUGGCUAGAAAUUGAUGGAAACGGUGGGGAAAACACAUGAACUGGACUCUAACAAGACCUAACCAGCAACAAGACCUCGACCAGGACACAAACUCAACACUGCGGACUCUGAAACUGAAAUAUGCAAAGGCUAUGGCGUGGAAGGGUUGUAGGAUGGAAAAACGAUAUGGCACUGGACUUAUGGGACGAACACAACACUCAAAACUAAGGGUAGAUGUGAACCUAAUGGUAUACCUGAAGCUUUGAUUACCACUUGAUGAGAACAAGGGUGGCCCGAUCUUCUGAAUGGUUCUGGUAACUCUCGAUUUGGUGAAGACGAGACACAAAUCGAUCUGGCUUCCGAACAACACGAUCCGAAAUCCCGCAUUUUUUUAUUUUUUUAAUAUUUUCCUUUUACUUAGGAGCACUAAAGAAGUAACCAUAGAAAAAUUGAGCUUAAACAAGUAAAAGACGUGGCCUGCGGAAUUUUGUGAAGAUUACAAAAAAUGUGAAAAAAACUUCACAAG